GACGAACGCUGGCGGCGUGCCUAAUACAUGCAAGUAGAACGCUGAAGGAGGAGCUUGCUCUUCUGGAUGAGUUGCGAACGGGUGAGUAACGCGUAGGUAACCUGCCUGGUAGCGGGGGAUAACUAUUGGAAACGAUAGCUAAUACCGCAUAAGAGUAGAUGUUGCAUGACAUUUACUUAAAAGGUGCAAUUGCAUCACUACCAGAUGGACCUGCGUUGUAUUAGCUAGUUGGUGGGGUAACGGCUUACCAAGGCGACGAUACAUAGCCGACCUGAGAGGGUGGUCGGCCACACUGGGACUGAGACACGGCCCAGACUCCUACGGGAGGCAGCAGUAGGGAAUCUUCGGCAAUGGACGGAAGUCUGACCGAGCAACGCCGCGGGAGUGAAGAAGGUUUUCGGAUCGGAAAGCUCUGUUGUAAGAGAAGAACGAGUGUGAGAGUGGAAAGUGCACACUGUGACGGUAUCUUACCAGAAAGGGACGGCUAACUACGUG
RNAcentral lists this ribosomal RNA (495 nucleotides) under uncultured bacterium. RNAcentral's name for it is "partial 16S ribosomal RNA". It matches the Rfam family "Bacterial small subunit ribosomal RNA", at positions 28 to 507 of the family's 1533-position model. The record is from RNAcentral.